RNAcentral lists this unclassified non-coding RNA (258 nucleotides) under uncultured fungus. RNAcentral's name for it is "sequence contains ITS1". Lineage: Eukaryota; Fungi. The record is from RNAcentral.
GCGGCCAGAGGGCCAGUCAUCUCAAGCUGCCGAUCAAACAACCGAAUCGGAAACUGGAACUGACGACGAUGCUUCUGUCGCCGCAACUGAUCAGCUAAGCGAAGCGCGAUCGGAUGCGACCGGUGACGAGCUGUCCGCGGAAGUUAAUAGCGAUUCAUCCCUGUCGCAACUCGAAAUCCAGCCGUCGCUGGCUGAGAGCGAGACCACCGAAUCAUCCGAACAACCUGAUCGGCAAGCCCAGGCAGACAACGUCGAGAA